This 498-nucleotide ribosomal RNA is filed under the name uncultured bacterium. Its description in RNAcentral is "partial 16S ribosomal RNA". It matches the Rfam family "Bacterial small subunit ribosomal RNA", at positions 28 to 507 of the family's 1533-position model. The record is from RNAcentral.
GACGAACGCUGGCGGCGUGCCUAAUACAUGCAAGUCGAACGAGAGCGACCGGUGCUUGCACUGGUCAAUCUAGUGGCGAACGGGUGAGUAACACGUGGGUAACCUGCCCAUCAGAGGGGGAUAACAUCCGGAAACGGGUGCUAAAACCGCAUAGGUCUUCGAACCGCAUGGUUUGAAGAGGAAAAGAGGCGCAAGCUUCUGCUGAUGGAUGGACCCGCGGUGCAUUAGCUAGUUGGUGAGGUAACGGCUCACCAAGGCCGUGAUGCAUAGCCGACCUGAGAGGGUGAUCGGCCACAUUGGGACUGAGACACGGCCAAAACUCCUACGGGAGGCAGCAGUAGGGAAUCUUCCGCAAUGGACGCAAGUCUGACGGAGCAACGCCGCGUGAGUGAAGAAGGUUUUCGGAUCGUAAAACUCUGUUGUUAGAGAAGAACAAGUGCUAGAGUAACUGUUAGCGCCUUGACGGUAUCUAACCAGAAAGCCACGGCUAACUACGUG